This 497-nucleotide ribosomal RNA is filed under the name uncultured bacterium. RNAcentral describes it as "partial 16S ribosomal RNA". It matches the Rfam family "Bacterial small subunit ribosomal RNA", at positions 28 to 507 of the family's 1533-position model. The record is from RNAcentral.
GAUGAACGCUGGCGGCGUGCCUAAUACAUGCGAGUCGAGCGAACGGACGAGAAGCUUGCUUCUCUGAUGUUAGCGGCGGACGGGUGAGUAACACGUGGAUAACCUACCUAUAAGACUGGGAUAACUUCGGGAAACCGGAGCUAAUACCGGAUAAUAUUUUGAACCGCAUGGUUCAAAAGUGAAAGACGGUCUUGCUGUCACUUAUAGAUGGAUCCGCGCUGCAUUAGCUAGUUGGUAAGGUAACGGCUUACCAAGGCAACGAUGCAUAGCAGACCUGAGAGGGUGAUCGGCCACACUGGAACUGAGACACGGUCCAGACUCCUACGGGAGGCAGCAGUAGGGAAUCUUCCGCAAUGGGCGAAAGCCUGACGGAGCAACGCCGCGUGAGUGAUGAAGGUCUUCGGAUCGUAAAACUCUGUUAUUAGGGAAGAACAUAUGUGUAAGUAACUGUGCACAUCUUGACGGUACCUAAUCAGAAAGCCACGGCUAACUACGUG